This 84-nucleotide transfer RNA is filed under the name Felis catus (domestic cat). It matches the Rfam family "tRNA". From Rfam's summary of the family: Transfer RNA (tRNA) molecules are approximately 80 nucleotides in length. The record is from Rfam by way of RNAcentral. Lineage: Eukaryota; Metazoa; Chordata; Mammalia; Carnivora; Felidae.
ACCUGGGUGGCUCAGUCGGUUAAGCACCUGACUUAGGCUCAGGUCAUUAUAUUACAGUUGUGGGUUCGAGCCCCACGUUGGGCU